GGGGAAUUUGAGUUGCAACUCCCAAACCAUCGCGAACCCUACCUUCAACCGUUGCUUCGGCGGGCGGGCGCCCCGUGCGCCCCCCCGGCCCCCCUCGCUGGGGGCGCCCGCCGGAGGUGCCCAACUCUUGUUGAUCAUAUGGCCUCUCUGAGUCUUCUGUACUGAAUAAGUCAAAACUUUCAACAACGGAUCUCUUGGUUCUGGCAUCGAUGAAGAACGCAGCGAAAUGCGAUAAGUAAUGUGAAUUGCAGAAUUCAGUGAAUCAUCGAAUCUUUGAACGCACAUUGCGCCCGCCAGUAUUCUGGCGGGCAUGCCUGUUCGAGCGUCAUUUCAACCAUCAAGCCCCCGGGCCUGUGUUGGGGAACUUAUUCUGCACACAGGACUCAAAAAGGCCUGAUGAUCUCCCUGACUUGGGCAUCUUCCGGAGCAUCACCCCCGGCGAGGGAGGGUCUGGGGGGGGCAGAAAAACCCCCCCCCCCCUCUUCAAGGAAA
This 492-nucleotide ribosomal RNA is filed under the name Chaetomium sp. B BK-2015. RNAcentral describes it as "partial 18S ribosomal RNA". The stretch from base 175 to 328 matches the Rfam family "5.8S ribosomal RNA". The record is from RNAcentral. Lineage: Eukaryota; Fungi; Ascomycota; Sordariomycetes; Sordariales; Chaetomiaceae.